GCCUGAGUAGCUCAAUUGGCAGAGCAGCUGAUUUGUAAUCAGCAGGUCAAGAGUUCGAGUCUCUUCUCAGGCUCCA
This 76-nucleotide transfer RNA is filed under the name Bacillota bacterium. Its description in RNAcentral is "tRNA-Thr". It matches the Rfam family "tRNA". Rfam says of the family: Transfer RNA (tRNA) molecules are approximately 80 nucleotides in length. RNAcentral also lists the same sequence under 3 other names. Lineage: Bacteria; Bacillati; Bacillota. The record is from RNAcentral.